Molecule: RNA transcript, 489 nt
Organism: Asparagus officinalis (garden asparagus)
Lineage: Eukaryota; Viridiplantae; Streptophyta; Magnoliopsida; Asparagales; Asparagaceae
Gene name: ras-related protein RABA4b-like
Exons: 5
Source: RefSeq, a predicted model, not a curated record
CACAAAAUAUUUGAUUGCAUAACAUGAAUUGUCAUUUGAAUGAAAAGCAAAAGGGCUUGUUUGAUGGAGACCCUUAGCAAUCUGUAGCCACCUAUUUUACUCAAAUGGAAGGUUUUGAUGCAGAAGUUUCUGGUUGGUGUUAUCUUGAUGCUCUCUUGUUAUGCCAUUGAAUCGGCAGGCCAAGAAUCCUUCAGAUCCAUUACAAGAUCCUAUUACAGAGGAGCUGCAGGCGCACUAUUAGUCUAUGAUAUCACCAGGAGGGAGACUUUUAAUCAUCUGGCAGGCCAACAUAUCACCUUCCAAUUUCAGAAGUUUCAUGUUUUGUAAUCAAAUGUUGAUGUACAUUGUUUGAAUGUUAGUUCGGUACGAUAUUUUCUGAGUUGAAAUGUUGGUAGUGUGGAUUUAAUACUUUGUAGUUUUUAUACUAUACUGAUGUAUGUUGGCACUUAUCAUUAUGGUUGAUUAUGCUCAACAUAAUCACUUUUAUAU